Capsicum annuum is the source of this 900-nucleotide long non-coding RNA. RefSeq lists it as uncharacterized. The record is from RefSeq and is a predicted model, not a curated record. The transcript has 4 exons. NCBI's taxonomy places the organism in Eukaryota, Viridiplantae, Streptophyta, Magnoliopsida, Solanales, Solanaceae.
AUAAAUUUUACCAAAUAAUAAUAGGAACCUCACGAAAUCAGAAUGAAAUUCUGAAAAAAAUAGCAACCUCAUGAGGUCGCUAAAUAUUGUUUAAUCAAUUAAACAUAUAUUACAAAAAUAUCUCACUAAAAAAAACUCUUACUAAAGAUUACACUUCAUUUAAAAAAUCAUUUUUCCUCCCACCAACCCACCCAAAAAAAUACGUCAAAACCAAGCCAACCCCACCCUAACUCCACCCCCACCCAUAAAAAAAACUCACUCUCUUUCCCUCUCACUCCAAUGAACUUACGGCCACCAUCCACCAUCAAUUUUUCCAGUGCCACACAAUUUUAGGCUUUUUUUUAAAGAAAAGAUUAUUUUUUGCGAAUUUCACCCCACAUAUCUUUAAUUUGUGCUUAAUGAGUUUCAUAUUAAAAUUUAAUUUUAUUUUUGGCUUAUAAUUUUGUGAUUAGGGCUGGUGUUUGCGAGUUAAAUGGGAGUUUGUUAGCAAAGUGUAACAACUUGAAGUUCAAUUGGUAUUAAUUUCCUGAUCUGCAUCUUUAUUUCAGGUGAUUUAUUAGUAGUGGAUCAAGUGUAUCAAUCCAAAGUUGUGACUUAUUUAGGGGCAUUUUUCCUCAAUUAUUGGAUAUUGGGAAAUUAUGGGAAAUCAUCUGUUGAGGCUAAUGUAAGGAAGAAUAUCUGGAUAAAAGAUUCGGGUUGAGCUAUUAACUACUGGAGCAUUCCUGUUCUCCCUCAUAUUACUAAUUUGAUCUCAAUUUUGUAUUUUAGAGACAAAUUUGUAUAUAUAUAUAUUGACUAUGUAUUUCUCCUUUUCUCUUGCUCUAUUUGAAGCUCUUAUAUGUACUUCACUAGAGUUUGGUAUUUCAUUUUUAUGUUAGCCUCUUUAUUAGAUUUCUUUCA